This 301-nucleotide ribosomal RNA is filed under the name uncultured bacterium. Its description in RNAcentral is "partial 16S ribosomal RNA". It matches the Rfam family "Bacterial small subunit ribosomal RNA", at positions 509 to 807 of the family's 1533-position model. The record is from RNAcentral.
CAGUAGCCGCGGUAAUACGGAGGGUGCAAGCGUUAAUCGGAAUUACUGGGCGUAAAGUGUGCGUAGGCGGUUCGUACAGUUGGGUGUGAAAUUCCUGGGCUUAGCCUGGGGGCUGCAUUCAAUACGUGCGGGCUUGAGUGUGGAAGAGGGUUGUGGAAUUCCCAGUGUAGAGGUGAAAUUCGUAGAGAUCGGGAGGAACAUCAGUGGCGAAGGCGGCCAUCUGGGACAACACUGACGCUGAGGCACGAAAGCGUGGGGAGCAAACAGGAUUAGAUACCCCAGUAGUCCCUGUCUCUUAUAC